CGGGUCGGGUCACCGCACGGGUCGUAGGGCUGAAACGGCGCCGUUUUUGUGCUUACCCUUCGGCCCAAAACAGUGCCGUUUUCGGUAAGCUAUAAAUACAAUGUUUUUUUUUAAAAAACUCAUUGUUCUUUCUAUUUCAAAAAAAAAACAAAAAAAAAAUUUCCUUUUCUCUCAAGCAGGCCCAAAAUCCGGCCAAACUCCGGCGAGUGGCCACUGCGCCGUUCACGGCGGCGGGGAGUAAAAAAUCUCGCCUUUUUUAAACUGUUUUUAGAUCCCGUUCAAUAGUCAAACUGCUUUGGCUCAAAAGGAUGACCCUUGGCCCCUUCUCCUCUCGGAUCCGACGUUCUUGAAGGAGGAGAGCCCUCCGACGGUGAACCCGCAAGGCAAAUCAGGUAAGCCCGUUCCCCUUUUACUUCUUAUUUAUUAUGCGUAAAAAAAACAAACAGAAAGAGCAAACAAGGAAAAAAAAAACCGAAUCUAAGGGAAAAAAAAACCUCCGUUUUGUAUUUUAUUUUUUCAAAUCUUUUUUCUUCGUAUUUUCCUCUCUAUUUUCGUAUGUCUUUACACUCAAGACCCCCCUUUUCAGAUCUCCCCCCACGGCUUUUAAAUAGUCGAAAAUAACAACAAAAUAAGCAACAAAAUCAUAUCUCCCUUCAAUAUUGGUUGCGAUUUUUGCUACUACUCUGCUAUUGCUGCGCCAUAUGCUUCUUUUUCGCAGGUGUGGUGGCUGUUGAGUGCGUGGGAGCGACAAGCGCGAUGUGCGGCGCUUGCGGAGGGGUGGUGCGCAGGGUGAUGCGGCGCUGAAGCAGAAAGGGCUAGGGUUUCUGGACUGGGCUAGGGUUAAUGUAAUUGGGCUAAAUUUUUGGGUUUAGUCUGUAGAUGGGUAAUUGGGUCUGCUAUGUUUUUAUUUUAUAUGGGCCCGGGCAGAAAAAUUGGGUAUUACAAUAUAUAUUAAAAAAAACUGUUGUAUGUUUCUUAUUUAUUUAUUUUAAACUGUUAUUAUUAUUCAUUUUAAGUUUUUAUAUACUGUUUAUUUGAAG
This 1040-nucleotide long non-coding RNA is filed under the name Gossypium raimondii (Peruvian cotton). RNAcentral describes it as "long non-coding RNA (GRAI_LNC003401)". The record is from RNAcentral. Lineage: Eukaryota; Viridiplantae; Streptophyta; Magnoliopsida; Malvales; Malvaceae.